This 466-nucleotide ribosomal RNA is filed under the name uncultured bacterium. Its description in RNAcentral is "partial 16S ribosomal RNA". It matches the Rfam family "Bacterial small subunit ribosomal RNA", at positions 28 to 506 of the family's 1533-position model. The record is from RNAcentral.
GACGAACGCUGGCGGCGUGCUUAACACAUGCAAGUCGAACGGAAAGGCCUCUUUCGGGGGGUACUCGAGUGGCGAACGGGUGAGUAACACGUGAGUAACCUGCCCUUGACUUUGGGAUAACUUCAGGAAACUGGGGCUAAUACCGGAUAGGAGCUCCUGCUGCAUGGUGGGGGUUGGAAAGUUUCGGCGGUUGGGGCUGGACUCGCGGCUUAUCAGCUUGUUGGUGGGGUAGUGGCUUACCAAGGCUUUGACGGGUAGCCGGCCUGAGAGGGUGACCGGCCACAUUGGGACUGAGAUACGGCCCAGACUCCUACGGGAGGCAGCAGUGGGGAAUAUUGCACAAUGGGUGGAAGCCUGAUGCAGCAACGCCGUGUGCGGGAUGACGGCCUUCGGGUUGUAAACCGCUUUCGCUCAUGACGAAGCUUUGUGUGACGGUAGUGGGUAAAGAAGCACCGGCUAACUACGU